Non-coding RNA from Schistosoma haematobium, 45 nucleotides. Lineage: Eukaryota; Metazoa; Platyhelminthes; Trematoda; Strigeidida; Schistosomatidae. The record is from Rfam.
AUCCAGCUGACAAGUCUCAAACAGAACGGAACACGCGUCCUGGAU